Molecule: ribosomal RNA, 397 nt
Filed under: uncultured bacterium
Lineage: Bacteria
Description: bacterial SSU rRNA
Rfam family: Bacterial small subunit ribosomal RNA
Source: RNAcentral
GACGAACGCUGGCGGCGUGCUUAACACAUGCAAGUCGAGCGGUAAGGCCCUUUCGGGGGUACGACGAGCGGCGAACGGGUGAGUAACACGUGGGUGACCUGCCCUUAGCUCUGGGAUAAGCCUGGGAAACUAGGGUCUAAUACCGGAUAUGACUCCAUGACGCAUGUUGUGGGGUGGAAAGCCCUGUGCGGCUAGGGAUGGGCCCGCGGCCUAUCAGCUUGUUGGUGGGGUGAUGGCCUACCAAGGCGACGACGGGUAGCCGGCCUGAGAGGGCGACCGGCCACACUGGGACUGAGACACGGCCCAGACUCCUACGGGAGGCAGCAGUGGGGAAUCUUGCGCAAUGGGCGAAAGCCUGACGCAGCGACGCCGCGUGGGGAUGACGGCCUGGUGUAAC